AAUGAUCUUCUCUUUGAAGUCUAUCAUCUUCUUCUCUUCCUCUUCUUUCGUCAGAGAGCACCACUGCAUGAAAAGAGAGACGCCCUUGUAAAUGAGUAAACACGGGGAAUUAACCGUUUUAGCUCUAAAAGUCAUCUCAUUCCCGGUAAGCCAUAUUGUCCAGCAAAAGGCUCCCAGAAUCAUCUGCAUAGCUUUACAAUGGUUAUUAGAAUAACCUUCUAAACUAAAAUGUAACAACAUCU
Molecule: long non-coding RNA, 242 nt
Filed under: Oryza brachyantha (malo sina)
Lineage: Eukaryota; Viridiplantae; Streptophyta; Magnoliopsida; Poales; Poaceae
Description: long non-coding RNA (OBRA_LNC001927)
Source: RNAcentral